RNAcentral lists this long non-coding RNA (885 nucleotides) under Taeniopygia guttata (zebra finch). RNAcentral's name for it is "lncRNA (ENSTGUG00000027309.1)". Lineage: Eukaryota; Metazoa; Chordata; Aves; Passeriformes; Estrildidae. The record is from RNAcentral.
CACUGUGGUCCCAGCUGUGGCCAAGCUGCCUCCUGGCUCAGCAGUGCUGCUCGGUGCCUUACUUUUGCAACCACGCUCUGGCCCCCACUCCCCCAGCAGGAGCUGCCCACCCACCAGCCACUUCUUUUUUAGCCUGUGCCUCUUAUUUUGAGACCAUUCCUCUCACUCCACCCCUAAACCACAUGCACCAGCACUGUGUACUCUGGCACAGGCUGGGUAGAGCACAGUACCCUCUGACCACCGUGCCCUUCCCUGGCAGGGGGACCCUGGGGACCCAGGUGAGGACGGUGCCAAGGGUGCCCGGGGUGAUGCUGGCUCCCCUGGACUGCCUGGAGAGAGGGGUGUGGAGGGCCCCCGUGGCCCCCCUGGCACACGGGGUGACCCUGGGGACCGAGGCCUGCCGGGAGAGAAGGUGAGAGCACUGGGGGCUGGGGGCUGUCCCAUAGCACUCCCAUCCCACCCCAAAGCUCCAACCAUCCUUCCCUGCUCCCUUCCAGGGGGAGCGUGGCCCACCAGGGCUGGAUGGCCGCAGUGGGCUGGAAGGCAAAGCUGGGCCCCCAGGGCCGGCUGGGCUGCGGGUGAGUGUGGUCCCAGUGGGGGGAAUGUCUGUGCCUGGGUGCCACGGGCAGGAGCUGUGGGACAGGGGGGUGAUGGGGUGGGAGGAGCUGUGCCUGGGGAUGAGUGGCCACAGACCUCUGCUCCAGGCUGGGGGUGCUCUGGAGGGGGGAUCUUCGGCAGGAUGGGAAUGUCCCUGUCCUCACCUCCUCCUUGUCUGCAGGGGGACCCGGGAAAGCCUGGAGAUCCUGGCCGGGAUGUAAGUACCUCUGGAGAGGGUGGGCUUAGGUUGUGUUCCUGCUGGGGCCAUCAGGCUUGCAAAGGACCAGU